Molecule: long non-coding RNA, 909 nt
Filed under: Sarcophilus harrisii (Tasmanian devil)
Lineage: Eukaryota; Metazoa; Chordata; Mammalia; Dasyuromorphia; Dasyuridae
Description: lncRNA (ENSSHAG00000027534.1)
Source: RNAcentral
AGGCAGAAGGGGGAAGAAGACAAAGAAAUAAACAGUUUUCAGACUUUCCCAAGAGCUUCUUCACCCACAACACUCCUGGGAGGCAGCUCGCUAGGUUGGCCAGAUGAGGAAACUGAGGACCCGAGAGUACUCAACUUACCCACAGUAAGCUUAAAGGCCCCUGGGAGCACCAUAGUGCCCAGAGCGCUGGGUCCCAGGUCAGGGAGGCCCAGGUCUGAGACCAGAGACAUCUGGCCUCAAAUCCUCACGAACUUUAGGACACAGGGCUGGAAUCCGUUAACUUCUAUUUGCCUCAGUUUAUCCACAUGUACAACGGGGGUAACAGCAGCACCACCUCGUGGGGUUUUUGUGAGCACCACUGGAGAUAAUAUUUGUGAAGCACUCGUCAGGACACACAGCAGGUGCUCCAGUUCUUCUCAAAGCUGACAUGUGAAGCCAGGGCUUUCCUCCUACACAGGCCUCUUCCCCACUGGUGAGCUCGGAGGGGGAGCAGCUUCCACAGGCAGGGAGGCUUGCGGGCAUCCUGCCGGGGCCAAGAGUUGGGGGCAGGCGGCAAAGACCCUGUCUGUGAAAACAACGGGAGACCCAGGCCCGAGCUCCAAGGGGUGGCAGCCUUCGGAAAGAGAGAGGGAACACUCAAGGAGCUGCCCCCAGAGGAGCUGGGCGGUGAUGAGAGCCAGGGCCAGGGACGAAGGAGAGUGGGGUCCCGCUGAAGGCACUGAGGGGGGCCAGAGGAGAAGCCUGAGGCACCAGGAGAGACGGAGGCGGGGGGCCUGUGGCCGGGACAGGAAUUUCAGAUGUUCAGAGAACACCUGGCGGUCACCUGAGUGUGAGUGUGUGGAGGAUGUGUGUUCAUGUAGGUGUGUGUGUAGGGUUGUGUGUGUGCAUGUAUGUGAGGGCACACGUGCA